GACGAACGCUGGCGGCGUGCUUAACACAUGCAAGUCGAACGAUGAACCCGGAGCUUGCUCCGGCGGAUUAGUGGCGAACGGGUGAGUAACACGUGAGUAACCUGCCCUUGACUCUGGGAUAACUGCGGGAAACUGUAGCUACUACCGGAUACGACCCUCGGCGGCAUCGCCAGGGGGUGGAAAGAAUUUCGGUCAAGGAUGGACUCGCGGCCUAUCAGCUAGUUGGUGAGGUAUCGGCUCACCAAGGCGACGACGGGUAGCCGGCCUGAGAGGGUGACCGGCCACACUGGGACUGAGACACGGCCCAGACUCCUACGGGAGGCGGCAGUGGGGAAUAUUGCACAAUGGGCGCAAGCCUGAUGCAGCAACGCCGCGUGAGGGAUGACGGCCUUCGGGUUGUAAACCUCUUUUAGUAGGGAAGAAGCGAAAGUGACGGUACCUGCAGAAAAAGCACCGGCUAACUACGUGCCAGCCGCCGCCGUAA
Molecule: ribosomal RNA, 484 nt
Filed under: uncultured bacterium
Lineage: Bacteria
Description: partial 16S ribosomal RNA
Rfam family: Bacterial small subunit ribosomal RNA
Source: RNAcentral